Rattus norvegicus (Norway rat) is the source of this 156-nucleotide small nuclear RNA. Ensembl annotates it as U1 spliceosomal RNA. The record is from Ensembl. Lineage: Eukaryota; Metazoa; Chordata; Mammalia; Rodentia; Muridae.
AUGUUUACAUGUCAGUGGAGAUACCCCAAAGGUGGAUCUCCCAUGACAAGGCCUAUCCACUGAAUUACGGAUUGCUCACCUUUGUGAUUCUCCAAACUCUGGAAAUGCAACUGUAUAACUUGUGGUAGCAGGGAACUGUGUUCACAUUCUCCCCUG